AUGUAUAACAUUAAUCCUGGUAUACAAUGUAUGAUGAGUUUAUUUGUUAUCCGACCGAAGACGAAUCAUAGUGACAUACAGUCAACGCAUUCAACAUUGCGCUCACUUCUUGCAAUGUCUUUAAUAAGAAUACAGACACACUCAGUAAAAGAGAUGAUAAAGAUAUCGAAGGGUUAUUCAAAUUCAUCUGUUGUUUGGUGGUUGUCGUUUGUUGGUGUGGUUCAUUAGUUUUUCACUUUUUUAUAUAGAUUAAACCAUUUGCUUCCGGUUUGCAUGGUUUUACACUAGUCUUUUUUUUUGGGGGGGGGGGGGGGGCUUUAUAGCUUGCUGUUCGAUGAGUAUCAAAACCCUGUGUUGAAUGCCGUACUUUGACCUUACUGCUAUAUGUUUACAAAUUGUGG
RNAcentral lists this long non-coding RNA (401 nucleotides) under Mytilus galloprovincialis (Mediterranean mussel). Lineage: Eukaryota; Metazoa; Mollusca; Bivalvia; Mytilida; Mytilidae. The record is from RNAcentral.